RNAcentral lists this unclassified non-coding RNA (240 nucleotides) under soil metagenome. RNAcentral's name for it is "partial contains 5.8S ribosomal RNA, internal transcribed spacer 2, and large subunit ribosomal RNA". The record is from RNAcentral.
AACGCACGAGACCUGCGGACCUGCGGAGGGAUCAUUAAUGAGAAACUGCCCCUCGCGGGUAGAUCUCCCACCCUUUGUAAACUUACCUUUGUUGCUUUGGCAGGCCCGUCCCCGGACCGCCGGCUUCGGCUGGCCAGUGCCUGCCAGAGGAUUCUAAAACUCUGUCUGUCAGUGUUGUCUGAGUCUAUAUACAAUCGUUAAAACUUUCAACAACGGAUCUCUAGAUCGGAAGAGCACACG